GGCGUAGGACCCUCCGAGCCAGGUGCGGGACAUAAUCUCGUGGUGCGCCGUUUUUUACGCCGGUCCGAAAAGCGCAAUAUUCGGGUGGGAGUGACCCGAUUUUCCAGUGAGGGAACAGCAAGAAGACAGCCAUCUGCAAAGAAGAGGGCUGUCACCAGACACUAGCUCUGCUGGCAUCUUGGACUUCCCAGCCUCCAGAAUGGUGAGAAAUAACUAUUUGUUGUUUCAGCCACCCUGUCUACAGUAAUUUUUUCUAGCAGCUUGAACUAAGGGGUGCCUCACAUCCUCACCAGAACCUCUCCUUUUGCAUUAAGCAAUUUUUAUCUUUUAUCACAGUGACUUACUAUAAGGUUCUUGAAGGCAGAGUGUGUGACUAACUCACAUUUUUAUCAUCAGGAGCACAUAGAGGUUGUCUAUACAUACUUAAAUGGCAAUAAGAAUGCACAAAUCAGGAGAAAUAAGCUGGCCAGUCAUUCUAGCCACGUGGAAGCCUGGUGUAAUGGAGUAAACCGUGGAGGAUGAGUCAGAAGAGUUGGUUUAGUCCUAGCUCUGCUAGUGGUGUCCAGAGAACCUCAGUUUCCUAUACUUAAAAUAAAGACAUUGCAUCAGGAAGUUUCUCAGGUCUUGUCAACCUCUAACAAUCUGUAGUUCAAGGUUCUGUCUGACUAGAACACGUUUCCUUUGCCCCAUCCCUUAGCUGUGAUGGAAGGAGUCACUCUCUCUUCCAAUUUCAACCUAAAGAUCACUUCCUCCAGAAAAUCUUCCCGCCCUUCUCCCCCACCUCUCCUAGAUUAAGUUAAUGCUUUUUAUUGCCCAUAUUACAUAUAUUUUUCACAUCACAAUAAUCACCCCAUUCAAUAAUACUUAUUUGUCUGAUUCCAAGUAUAGGCUUUCUGAGGGCUUGUUUAAAUUGCUUCUAUUAUCUCCCCUGUUCCUAGCAUAGCAUCUGACCCAGAGUAGGGGCUUAAUAUAUAUUUUUAAAAUGAAAAAGAAAUAAA
This is a long non-coding RNA of Homo sapiens (human), 998 nucleotides long. Ensembl annotates it as long intergenic non-protein coding RNA 1418. The record is from Ensembl. Lineage: Eukaryota; Metazoa; Chordata; Mammalia; Primates; Hominidae.